AGGGAUCAUUGCUGGAACGCGCCCCAGGCGCACCCAGAAACCCUUUGUGAACUUAUACCUUACUGUUGCCUCGGCGCUAGCUGGUCCUCCGGGGCCCCUCACCCCCGGGUGUUGAGACAGCCCGCCGGCGGCCAACCCAACUCUUGUUUUUACACUGAAACUCUGAGCACAAAACAUAAAUGAAUCAAAACUUUCAACAACGGAUCUCUUGGUUCUGGCAUCGAUGAAGAACGCAGCGAAAUGCGAUAAGUAAUGUGAAUUGCAGAAUUCAGUGAAUCAUCGAAUCUUUGAACGCACAUUGCGCCCUCUGGUAUUCCGGAGGGCAUGCCUGUUCGAGCGUCAUUUCAACCCUCAAGCCUGGCUUGGUGAUGGGGCACUGCUUCUUACCCAAGGAGCAGGCCCUGAAAUUCAGUGGCGAGCUCGCCAGGACCCCGAGCGCAGUAGUUAAACCCUCGCUCUGGAAGGCCCUGGCGGUGCCCUGCCGUUAAACCCCCAACUUCUGAAAAUUUGACCUCGGAUCAGGUAGGAAUACCCGCUGAACUUAA
This 545-nucleotide ribosomal RNA is filed under the name Diaporthe amygdali. RNAcentral describes it as "eukaryotic LSU rRNA". The stretch from base 189 to 342 matches the Rfam family "5.8S ribosomal RNA". Lineage: Eukaryota; Fungi; Ascomycota; Sordariomycetes; Diaporthales; Diaporthaceae. The record is from RNAcentral.